UAUAGCAAUUGUGAAGGUGUC
This 21-nucleotide non-coding RNA is filed under the name Rattus norvegicus (Norway rat). The record is from RNAcentral. Lineage: Eukaryota; Metazoa; Chordata; Mammalia; Rodentia; Muridae.